GACCAUGCGGCCUAAUGGACAAGGCAUCUGACUUUCAAUCUGAAGAUUGAGGUUUCAAGUCCCUUCGUGGUUG
Molecule: transfer RNA, 73 nt
Filed under: Perca fluviatilis (European perch)
Lineage: Eukaryota; Metazoa; Chordata; Actinopteri; Perciformes; Percidae
Rfam family: tRNA
About the family: Transfer RNA (tRNA) molecules are approximately 80 nucleotides in length. Their secondary structure includes four short double-helical elements and three loops (D, anti-codon, and T loops).
Source: Rfam by way of RNAcentral